GCAAGUCGAGCGCCCUCUUUGGAGGGAGCGGCGGACGGGUUAGUAACGCGUGGGAACGUGCCUUUCGCUAUGGAAUAGCCCAGGGAAACUUGGAUUAAUACCGUAUACGCCCUUUGGGGGAAAGAUUUAUCGGUGAGGGAUUGGCCCGCGUUGGAUUAGGUAGUUGGUGGGGUAAUGGCCUACCAAGCCGACGAUCCAUAGCUGGUUUGAGAGGAUGAUC
RNAcentral lists this ribosomal RNA (220 nucleotides) under uncultured bacterium. Its description in RNAcentral is "partial 16S ribosomal RNA". It matches the Rfam family "Bacterial small subunit ribosomal RNA", at positions 57 to 305 of the family's 1533-position model. The record is from RNAcentral.